CCCCAGUAGCGGCGAGCGAACGGGGAGCAGCCCAGAGCCUGAAUCAGUGUGUGUGUUAGUGGAAGCGUCUGGAAAGGCGUGCGAUACAGGGUGACAGCCCCGUACACAAAAAUGCACAUACUGUGAGCUCGAUGAGUAGGGCGGGACACGUGGUAUCCUGUCUGAAUAUGGGGGGACCAUCCUCCAAGGCUAAAUACUCCUGACUGACCGAUAGUGAACCAGUACCGUGAGGGAAAGGCGAAAAGAA
RNAcentral lists this ribosomal RNA (247 nucleotides) under Escherichia coli. RNAcentral's name for it is "partial 23S ribosomal RNA". It matches the Rfam family "Bacterial large subunit ribosomal RNA", at positions 238 to 523 of the family's 2925-position model. Lineage: Bacteria; Pseudomonadati; Pseudomonadota; Gammaproteobacteria; Enterobacterales; Enterobacteriaceae. The record is from RNAcentral.